This 492-nucleotide ribosomal RNA is filed under the name uncultured bacterium. RNAcentral describes it as "partial 16S ribosomal RNA". It matches the Rfam family "Bacterial small subunit ribosomal RNA", at positions 29 to 507 of the family's 1533-position model. The record is from RNAcentral.
AGUGAACGCUGGCGGUAGGCCUAACACAUGCAAGUCGAACGGCAGCACAGUAAGCUCUUGCUCUUACCGGUGGCGACUGGCGGGCGGGUGACGCAUACAUCGGCAUCUUCUUUUUCGUGGGUGAUUACGUAGGGCCACUUACGCUACUACCUCAUACAUCCUACGGGUGGAAUCAGUGGAUCUUCGCGCCUUUCCCGUUUGUAUUAGCCGAUGCCGGAUUAGCUAGUUGGCUGGGUAAGGGCCCACCAAGGCAACGAUCCGUAGCUGACCUGAGAGGAUGAUCGGCCACACUGGAACUGAGACACGGUCCAGACUCCUACGGGAGGCAGCAGUGGGGAAUAUUGGGCAAUGGGCGCAAGCCUGACCCAGCCAUACCGCGUGGGUGAAGAAGGCCUUCGGGUUGUAAAGCCCUGUUGUUGGGAAAGAAAAGCAGUAGGUGAAUACACGGCUGUUCUGACGGUACCUAAAGAAUAAGCACCGGCUAACUACGUG